Molecule: ribosomal RNA, 413 nt
Filed under: uncultured bacterium
Lineage: Bacteria
Description: bacterial SSU rRNA
Rfam family: Bacterial small subunit ribosomal RNA
Source: RNAcentral
AUUGAACGCUGGCGGCAGGCCUAACACAUGCAAGUCGAGCGCGAAAGUUCUUCGGAAUGAGUAAAGCGGCGGACGGGCGAGUAAUGCAUGGGAAUCUGCCUGGUAGUGGGGGACAACGCUUCGAAAGGAACGCUAAUACCGCAUACGCCCUACGGGGGAAAGGGGGGGAGUCUUCGGACCUCUCGCUAUCAGAUGAGCCCAUGUCAGAUUAGCUAGUUGGUGGGGUAAAGGCUCACCAAGGCGACGAUCCGUAACUGGUCUGAGAGGAUGAUCAGUCACACUGGAACUGAGACACGGUCCAGACUCCUACGGGAGGCAGCAGUGGGGAAUAUUGGACAAUGGGCGAAAGCCUGAUCCAGCCAUGCCGCGUGUGUGAGAAGGCCUCGGUGUAAGUCACUUCAGUGGGAGGAAGG